This is a long non-coding RNA of Lycium ferocissimum, 828 nucleotides long. RefSeq lists it as uncharacterized. The record is from RefSeq and is a predicted model, not a curated record. Lineage: Eukaryota; Viridiplantae; Streptophyta; Magnoliopsida; Solanales; Solanaceae. The transcript is spliced from 2 exons.
CCAAGCAUUAGCGGCAAAUACAUAUUAGCCAGGAAAAAAUAUAUUUCGCCCGGCAAUUAAAAGAUACAGCCACUAUAAGAGUUAGCCUUUAGUUUUUACUACAAAUAUAAAAUAUAUUUCAUUUCCUUCUCUUUGGUAAAUUCCUAUGAAUACUCAAAACCCUCGUUAAAGCCCCAUUGACGCCUAAAUAUGCCGCCCAACUACAUCAUCGAUUUUUUUCCAGAAAAGUUCACAAAAAAAAACAUUAUCAAGGCCAUGUCAAUGUUUUUCUGGUUUUGAACGCUGCUUCCAAGCGUCACCGUCGGUUGAUUCUCCAUCGUCUUCUUCGCUUAUGGACCCUUAGGUAAUGAAGGGGAGAAUACGGUACAUUUGAUACGGUUACGUUGGAAAAAGCUAAAAUUGAUAGCAAACCAAGUUUAGGCCUAAGGUCUUACAAUCUAAUGUUUGAAGAUUUAACCUUUGGAAGAUUUCAAUAUGACGAAGAUUUGCAGAAAUUAUUUGAAAACUAUUAUUUGUGUCUUUCUUUUUUUUUGUUUUUUAAAUUUAUUUUUUAUUAUAGGAUUGGUUAUAUAAUGACAUUAGUUACAAUUUAAGUUUUUAAGUUGUUACAUUAAUAUUCUGGAUUGGUCCUUUCUUUUUUCGUCAGUUCUAAAGAGAUGUAUUAUGUUUUUUAUGAAUUAAUAGUGAUAUGUUUUUUUAGCAUUUACCUUAGUUGCCACCAAAAGGCUCUACCACUGGAUUAUUAUUUGGAAGAACAUUGUAGCCAUUAUCGGUGGCUAAACAAUUGUUGUUGAAUCUCGUAGCUUUUAGCUGCAAUUCAAUUGAUUU